RNAcentral lists this non-coding RNA (102 nucleotides) under Priestia megaterium. RNAcentral describes it as "Bacillus megaterium SAM-I sequence". It matches the Rfam family "SAM riboswitch aptamer (S box leader)". From Rfam's summary of the family: The SAM riboswitch is found upstream of a number of genes which code for proteins involved in methionine or cysteine biosynthesis in Gram-positive bacteria. The SAM riboswitch acts at the level of transcription termination control. RNAcentral also lists the same sequence under 1 other name. Lineage: Bacteria; Bacillati; Bacillota; Bacilli; Caryophanales; Bacillaceae. The record is from RNAcentral.
UUCUUAUCUAGAGAGGUGGAGGGACUGGCCCUUUGAAGCCUCAGCAACCACAAUUAUUGAAUGGUGCUAAUUCCAGCAUAGCCUAGCUCUGACAGAUAAGAA